Molecule: long non-coding RNA, 961 nt
Organism: Tripterygium wilfordii
Lineage: Eukaryota; Viridiplantae; Streptophyta; Magnoliopsida; Celastrales; Celastraceae
Exons: 2
Source: RefSeq, a predicted model, not a curated record
CUCUGUGAAACUUAAGGUUAUUAGUUAGGGUUAAGGAAGUGGAGCUCCUUGAAGUCCAAUAGAGGGUCUUGCUGGGUUGGAUUGAGCUGCUGAGCUAUGGAUACCAUAAUCCUAUCCUCUCCUCUCCAUCUUGUCUUUGGAUAGGUUUGUGGGAUGCAUAACUCAGGAGCUGCACCACCAUGGUUUGAUCCUUUUUUGGAUUGAAGGGAGCUCUACAUCUCUAUCUUCUCCUCUUCUUUAGUGUUUUUUUUUUCCUUGACUUGGGUGUAGUUGAAUCUGUUUGUUUGUUCCUUCUUUAUUUCUUUGAGUGAGUCAAGCAGGAAGUCAGAGAACCAGUCAAGGUCUGGUUUUUAUCUAUUUGGGGUUGUGGAUCUAAGCCUCCUUGAAGUCAUCUGGAACUUCAAGUUCUUAGAUCGCAGCGGAUUACAUCUGGAUGUCCAGUCUACUGCUGUGCCUCAAUGUAUUUGGGGGAGAACCAGCUAGCUCUGGGUUUGAGUGGCUUUUUUUUGUUCCUUAACAACAAAUCAUCUGCUGAUUCUUCAAAAUCAGUUGGUUCGGAUCUCCACUAAUGGAGUUGUUCAGUCUGGUCUAGACUGUUGAAAAACUGAAGUUCUGAUAUUUGGUUGCCCAUGGUGAUUUUAAAGUGUGUUCAGACCGUAGAUGAUUCUUCUCUCUCAGUUUCCUUUAGUACUUGAGAAGAAAAGCCAAGAAACAGCUGUAAUGGUGUCUGUGUAGUGUCAUUACAGCACACAGUUUGAUCAGACAAUUGUGUCCGUUAACAUUAGUUGGAUCUGCCUACGUUUUUGCGGAUGAUGUUUGCUGCGUUGUUGGAGCGAGUCGAUUGGUCAAUUGUCUUUCCGAGGAUAUUGUUAUAUAUUGAAUAUUUAUGUUACCAUGUAUUAAUUAAUUAAUUAAUUUUCAAAUUUUUUUUGAGGAAUUUAUUUCUGGUAUUGUAACAAAA